Molecule: long non-coding RNA, 2667 nt
Filed under: Sarcophilus harrisii (Tasmanian devil)
Lineage: Eukaryota; Metazoa; Chordata; Mammalia; Dasyuromorphia; Dasyuridae
Description: lncRNA (ENSSHAG00000020861.1)
Source: RNAcentral
CUCCAGAUGGCAAAUAUUAAGUAAAUGCUUAUUAAUUUAAUAUAAUGGUUUUUAUGAUUAUCUAUAUUCUUUAUACUAAAUAGAUAAUAUCCUCUAUUAAUGCCUGGCUCUAAUGAAAGUGACCCUGGGGUUCUUAAAGUUUAUGUCAAUAAAACAAAAGCUCUGGAAGGCCCAACUGAGAUGGAAUGGUUUAAAGUAUAGCCUAUGUCUUUGUUUCAGAACCAAACUAGCUAAAUUUAGAGAGGCUCAUUAUUGAGUCAGUGGCAGGGAAAUGGAUAAAUUUUUCUAUCAAAGUGACUUUCAAAGACAUUUUCCUAAGUGAUAAAGAGGUUGUAACCCCUAUUGGAAGUUCCAACAACCAACAUCACAAGUAGUAUCUUUGAAGUCAUAUGCAAAUUUAACAAUAAUAUGCAAACUAAAAUUUAAGUUUUAUUAAAACAGGUUAAUUUUAAAAUGUUUUUCAAAACGAAAAUUAAUUCUUAAGGACAACAAACUUAAAUGAUCAAUUCAAGAUUACUAACCUAACAAAUUUUAGGUUAAGGUCCCAAAGUGCAACAUACAAUUUAAAAAAAAAAAAAAACACACAUACUCACUUUAAGAACAUGAUUUACCAUUCACAUCUGAUCAACAUAGGGUCCUCUCCAACUAAACAUUAGACCAGCAGUAAUGGUUGGAUUUUUAAUAUGAGACAAGACAAUUUCUUUUCUUAUCUUUUUUUUUUUUAACAGUAAAGAAAAUCCUGAUUAUAAGUUUUUAAAAUAUUGAGACUUCUAAUUUACAAACAUCAUUAAGCUAUUUGAAAUUUUAAAAUAAAAAUUUUUUUUUAAAACUUGAAUCAUCCUAUUAGCGUCUAUGCUGGACAAAUUAAGCUUUCAACAAUUUAAGACUUUCAUUUCUAACCUUUUUUGUACAUUCAAUGAAUUAAGAACAAGUUAUCUUACUUCAAUUCAACUAAUAUUUAUGUCUAGACUCUGUUCAAGGCAUUCUACUACAUGUAAAGAAACCAAUACAAAAAUCUCUCAUUUAUAAUAACCAUUAUAUUUUGAAAAAAAGUUUUCAGUAUAGAUUUAUAGACCUUCAUUAGUCAUCAAUAUUAACCACAGAAGGACCCUCCAUUCCACAGUAAAUAUUUUUCCCUCAUUGAUUUUUUUUUGGAACUUUGAGGAAAAAUACCAAAGUCAGAUUUCAAAAACUAGAAAUAUGGAUUGUUCCCGGAACAUAAGAAAAAAGAACACUAGAAUGAACAAAAUAUUUCAUUAUAUUUCUUGAUAUUUCCUGUCAUUUUAAUUUAUAUCAAUAACUUUUAUUGUUUAUCAUUUUGAAGUAAGAGGCUUUUGAGUACAUACAUAUUUUGAGUACAGGCAGUCACUAUGAAAUCUGAGGAGACCAUAUCAACGACAGAAUGCAGGUCACUGUGACAUGGCAGACAACAGAGCAAAGUCAAAAUUGAAAUUCAUCAUAUGCUGACUGAGCAUCUUGAUAGAAAAAAAAUUUUUAAGUGGAAGUAUCAGUUUUCCAAGGUGUCUCAGCCCAGCAUUCUUCAAAGAAUUAUGUCUUUACCUCAUUCCUGGAAGGUCAGAGAAGGGCAAUCAACUGUUAAUUCAUUUUGAUUUUUGGUUUUAUUCCUAACCAUUUUGGAUACUCUAAAUACAAUCAUUUUUAUUUUAAAGCCAACCAAAAUAAUAACUAAGGCUUGGUCAUAUCAUCAACUAAAUCUGAUUCUGCCCUCAGAGAACUUACAACUCCAGGUUUCCUUGCUGUGUCACCACUUUCCACUGCCUGGCACUGUGGAGUUCAUCUCAGUACUGGCUGUCUGACUUUUCUAUUUGCAUUCUAGGGCACGGCACGUAGUAGGUACUUUCUCCCCCGACGGGCAGUAUUUAUCUUCCUUAUCAAUAAUUUUGUGGUUUGUAAUUUUUAUAUGGUGACAUAUAUAAUUUUUUUGUAUGGAAAACGGUUAUGCGGGAAGGCGUCCCUAAGUACUGGCUGUCUGACUUUUCUAUUUGCAUUCUAGGGCAGGACACAUAGUAGGUACUUUCUCCCCCGACGGGCAGUAUUUAUCUUCCUUAUCAAUAAUUUUGUGGUUUGUAAUUUUUAUAUGGUGACAUAUAUAAUUUUUUUGUAUGGAAAACGGUUAUGCGGGAAGGCGUCCCUAAGUACUGGCUGUCUGACUUUUCUAUUUGCAUUCUAGGGCAGGGCACAUAGUAGGUACUUUCUCCCCCGACAGGCAGUUGAAAUUUUCCUAGGAUGCUGAAAUGAUCCCUCAUUUAUCUUCCUCAUCAAUAAUAUUUGUGGUUUAUAAUUUUUAUAUGGUGGUAUAUAUAAUUUUUUUGUAUGGAAAACGGUUAUACGGGAAGGAAUCCCUGUCUGACUUUUCUAUUUGCGUUCUAGGGCACAUGGCACACAGUAGGUACUUAAUGUUUCAUGUAUUCAUUCUGAAAUCCACAUAUUCAUUCCAGAGUCUCUCCCCGACAACACGCCCGAACUUUCUCUCCCUCCAAACUAGGGGUUCUUGGUCUUUAUGGGAACCCCUCCCCCCAACACACACACGGUUUGGUGACCUCUACGGGCCCCUUCUCAGAACAUUGUUUUUUAGGCGCUAAAUUUUAGCGGUCCGUAAAUAAAGUUGUAGCUAUUUUAGAAGCCAAGGUCAAAGGCCCCUGUUCU